RNAcentral lists this transfer RNA (69 nucleotides) under Bos taurus (domestic cattle). It matches the Rfam family "tRNA". Rfam says of the family: Transfer RNA (tRNA) molecules are approximately 80 nucleotides in length. Their secondary structure includes four short double-helical elements and three loops (D, anti-codon, and T loops). Lineage: Eukaryota; Metazoa; Chordata; Mammalia; Artiodactyla; Bovidae. RNAcentral also lists the same sequence under 2 other names. The record is from Rfam by way of RNAcentral.
CCUGGUGGCUCAGACGGUAAAGCGUCUGCCUGCAAUGCAGGAGACCCAGGUUCAAUUCCUGGGUCAGGA